RNAcentral lists this microRNA precursor (69 nucleotides) under Mustela putorius furo (domestic ferret). RNAcentral's name for it is "miRNA (ENSMPUG00000021593.1)". Lineage: Eukaryota; Metazoa; Chordata; Mammalia; Carnivora; Mustelidae. The record is from RNAcentral.
AAGUGGUAUGUCUGUGUGUGUGUAUGUAUAUAUGUGCAUAUGUAUAUAUACAUACACACACACAAUAGA